RNAcentral lists this ribosomal RNA (765 nucleotides) under uncultured Lactococcus sp. RNAcentral's name for it is "bacterial SSU rRNA". It matches the Rfam family "Bacterial small subunit ribosomal RNA", at positions 28 to 776 of the family's 1533-position model. Lineage: Bacteria; Bacillati; Bacillota; Bacilli; Lactobacillales; Streptococcaceae. The record is from RNAcentral.
GACGAACGCUGGCGGCGUGCCUAAUACAUGCAAGUUGAGCGAUGAAGAUUGGUGCUUGCACCAAUUUGAAGAGCAGCGAACGGGUGAGUAACGCGUGGGGAAUCCGCCUUUGAGCGGGGGACAACAUUUCAGGAAAACAGCUAUGACCGCAUAAUAACUUUACACAUAAGUUUUAAGUUUGAAAGAUGCAAUUGCAUCACUCAAAGAUGAUCCCGCGUUGUAUUAGCUAGUUGGAGAGGUAAAGGCUCACCAAGGCGAUGAUACAUAGCCGACCUGAGAGGGUGAUCGGCCACAUUGGGACUGAGACACGGCCCAAACUCCUACGGGAGGCAACAGUAGGGUAUCUUCGGCAAUGGACGAAAGUCUGACCGAGCAAUCCCGCGUGAGUGAAGAAGGUUUUUGUAUUGUAAAACUCUGUUGGUAGAGAAGAACGUUGGUGAGAGUGGAAAGCUCAUCAAGUGACGGUAACUACCCAGAAAGGGACGGCUAACUACGUGCCAGCACCCGCGGUAAUACGUAGGUCCCGAGCGUUGUCCGGAUUUAUUGGGCGUAAAGCGAGCGCAGGUGGUUUAUUAAGUCUGGUGUAAAAGGCAGUGGCUCAACCAUUGUAUGCAUUGGAAACUGGUAGACUUGAGUGCAGGAGAGGAGAGUGGAAUUCCAUGUGUAGCGGUGAAAUGCGUAGAUAUAUGGAGGAACACCGGUGGCGAAAGCGGCUCUCUGGCCUGUAACUGACAGUGAGGCUUGAAAGUGUGGGGAGCAAACAGG